GACGAACGCUGGCGGCGCGCCUAACACAUGCAAGUCGAACGGUUAGGGCCCGUUCUGGUGGGGAGCUCGAGUGGCGAAGGUGUGUGACACAUGUGCGUACUCCGCCUUUCAUUGUGGUAUACACUGAGGAAAGUGGGGAUUAUACAGGACUUGAGCACUUCCUGCUUGGAGGGGGUUGGAAGGUUUCGGCGGAUGGGGAUGGCCGCGCGGCUUGUCAGCUUGUUGGUGGGGUAGUGGCUUACCAAGGCAAUGAUGGGUAGCCGGUCUGAGAGGGUGACCGGCCACAUUGGGACUGAGAUACGGCCCAGACUCCUACGGGAGGCAGCAGUGGGGAAUCUUGCACAAUGGGCGGAAGCCUGAUGCAGCGACGCCGCGUGCGGGAUGACGGCCUUCGGGUUGUAAACCGCUUUCAGCAGGGACGAAGCGAAAGUGACGGUAAUUGGAGAAGAAGCACCGGCUAACUACGUG
This 468-nucleotide ribosomal RNA is filed under the name uncultured bacterium. RNAcentral's name for it is "partial 16S ribosomal RNA". It matches the Rfam family "Bacterial small subunit ribosomal RNA", at positions 28 to 507 of the family's 1533-position model. The record is from RNAcentral.